RNAcentral lists this small RNA (572 nucleotides) under Pongo abelii (Sumatran orangutan). Its description in RNAcentral is "processed transcript". Lineage: Eukaryota; Metazoa; Chordata; Mammalia; Primates; Hominidae. The record is from RNAcentral.
AAUUCUCCUGCCUCAGCUUCCUGAGUUGCUGGGAUUACAGGUGCUUGCCACCAUGCCUGGCUAAUUUUUGUAUUUUUAGUAGAGACAGCGUUUCACCAUGUUGGCCAGACUGGUCUUGAACUCCUAACCUCGUGAUACCUGCCUUUGCCUCCCAAAGUGCUGGGAUUACAGGCGUGAGCCACUGCAUCCAGCCACCUGCCGUGUGUUUUAAACACUGUGAGGUGUGUUCAUGCAACAUUCAAGAAGAGCAGCUCCCCGCCGGCCCAACAGCUCUCCUUCCUGCGCAGCGGCCUCCUGAACACCCUCUACCUGCACAUGCCUGACUGCCCAGUGCCCCUGCUCCAGUGGCUGUUCCAGCUGGUGACAUGGCCUCCAGAAACGUCUUUGGGAGCCUUUGGUCUUCUGUGGGAUCUCAUUGUGGAUGGAAUCUUCCUUCAGCCUGAUGAAGACAAGCACCUGUGGUGCCCCUCACUGCAAGAAGUCAGGGAGGCAUUCCACAGCCUGGGUGCCCACAGUCCUGCCCUGUACCCUCUGGGGCCCUUUUGGCACGGUGGCAGGGUGCUUCCAGGCGA